GUCUGCGGCCAUACCACCCUGAAUGCGCCCAAUUUCAUCUGAUCUCGGAAGCUAAGCAGGGUCGGGCCUGGUUAGCACUUGGAUGGGAGACAAUAAGACAAUAAAAAAAUGUUGUGUACG
This 120-nucleotide ribosomal RNA is filed under the name Prolemur simus (greater bamboo lemur). The record is from RNAcentral. Lineage: Eukaryota; Metazoa; Chordata; Mammalia; Primates; Lemuridae.